RNAcentral lists this ribosomal RNA (404 nucleotides) under uncultured bacterium. Its description in RNAcentral is "bacterial SSU rRNA". It matches the Rfam family "Bacterial small subunit ribosomal RNA", at positions 28 to 414 of the family's 1533-position model. The record is from RNAcentral.
GAUGAACGCUGGCGGCGUGCUUAACACAUGCAAGUCGAGCGGAGAUAUAAAAAGGAAGCCCUUCGGGGUGGAAUUUUUACAUCUUAGCGGCGGACGGGUGCGUAACACGUGGGUAACCUGCCCCUAUCACUGGGAUAACACACUGAAAAGUGUGCUAAUACCAGAUAAUAUAAGCUUUUGGCAUCGUUAGCUUAUCAAAGAAUUUCGGAUAGGGAUGGGCCCGCGUCUGAUUAGCUAGUUGGUGAGGUAACGGCUCACCAAGGCAACGAUCAGUAGCCGACCUGAGAGGGUGAUCGGCCACACUGGAACUGAGACACGGUCCAGACUCCUACGGGAGGCAGCAGUGGGGAAUAUUGCACAAUGGGCGAAAGCCUGAUGCAGCAACGCCGCGUGAGCGAUGAAGG